RNAcentral lists this ribosomal RNA (465 nucleotides) under Vreelandella stevensii. Its description in RNAcentral is "partial 16S ribosomal RNA". It matches the Rfam family "Bacterial small subunit ribosomal RNA", at positions 338 to 795 of the family's 1533-position model. The record is from RNAcentral. Lineage: Bacteria; Pseudomonadati; Pseudomonadota; Gammaproteobacteria; Oceanospirillales; Halomonadaceae.
CCUACGGGAGGCAGCAGUGGGGAAUAUUGGACAAUGGGGGCAACCCUGAUCCAGCCAUGCCGCGUGUGUGAAGAAGGCCCUCGGGUUGUAAAGCACUUUCAGUGAGGAAGAACGCCUGGUGGUUAAUACCCAUCAGGAAAGACAUCACUCACAGAAGAAGCACCGGCUAACUCCGUGCCAGCAGCCGCGGUAAUACGGAGGGUGCGAGCGUUAAUCGGAAUUACUGGGCGUAAAGCGCGCGUAGGUGGCUUGAUAAGCCGGUUGUGAAAGCCCCGGGCUCAACCUGGGAACGGCAUCCGGAACUGUCAAGCUAGAGUGCAGGAGAGGAAGGUGGAAUUCCCGGUGUAGCGGUGAAAGGCGUAGAGAUCGGGAGGAAUACCAGUGGCGAAGGCGGCCUUCUGGACUGACACUGACACUGAGGUGCGAAAGCGUGGGUAGCAAACAGGAUUAGAUACCCUGGUAGUC